Long non-coding RNA from Mustela lutreola (European mink), 717 nucleotides. RefSeq lists it as uncharacterized. The record is from RefSeq and is a predicted model, not a curated record. NCBI's taxonomy places the organism in Eukaryota, Metazoa, Chordata, Mammalia, Carnivora, Mustelidae. The transcript is spliced from 3 exons.
UUUAUUAAAGAAAUGGCUUUAAUAUUUAAGCAUUCAUGUAAUAGUCUUGUUUUGUUUUGCACAGCUAGAGAAUUGAAGAGGAAAGCCCUGUCUGCUCAUUCUUAAAUACAUUUGACCUUCAGGUUCUUUAUCUGUAAAAGAGACUGAGAAUACCAACUUCACCGGGGUGCCGUGAGGAUUAAUUGGCUCUUACAGGUUUUCUUUAUUAAGGCUAAAUCAUAACAUCAAAGAAAAGAAAAGGAAGGAUCAAAAUUCUACACAUCAGGAAUAACAACUAACAGAUCUUCUAGGGAGCAUUCGAGAAUCAAAGAGAGAAAUGAAAGAAGAUACCAAGGAUUCAAACUCUGACUGGACAUCAGAGUUGAGGAUGAGAGUUUGGUGAAAAGAUAAAAAUCAUUCAAGUGGGAACCCAAGCAACCUAUUAUAAAAGGAGCAAUCAAGCCACUGCAUAAUAAACCAUAAACUAUACCAAAAACAUGAAUUGAAAUGAGGAUUGUCAUCUCAGGAACUGUCGCAAUCAAAAGAUUUAGAAGUUUUCACCAUGAAGAUACUGGGUAAUUAGUUUUAUUGUCUAUAAGUUUGAUUAUGCUUAUUUAUAGGAAUCUCAGCAUCAUUCCCUCAUUAAACAUUAAUUGAGCACCUACUGUGUUCCUAGGCUUGUCUGCAGGUGGGUAUGUGGUGGUGUUAUGCAAAAUGUAAAAGGCAUACAUAUUACUA